Scylla paramamosain (green mud crab) is the source of this 1390-nucleotide long non-coding RNA. RefSeq lists it as uncharacterized. NCBI's taxonomy places the organism in Eukaryota, Metazoa, Arthropoda, Malacostraca, Decapoda, Portunidae. The record is from RefSeq and is a predicted model, not a curated record. The transcript has 3 exons.
CUUCCUCCUUAUCUGUACAUCAGUAUUAAGCUAAACUUCCGGCUGUUUCCAAACUCAUACAUGAAGAAAAGUCACAUUAACCACGAAAAUAAAUAAAUAACCCUCCAAAAAGGCUCAAAUGAGGCUUAAAUAACUAGAAGGUUACAGACCCGUUCAGAGCGCCCACCUUGAAAACAUCAGGACCUAGAUCGAGACCUUCCCUCCUCCUUCCCCGUGUCUUUCCCUCAAUAUUUACCUCGAUUUUCUUGGUUUUCCGGGCAUUUCCAGAACAACUGACUGAUCACGUUCCAGUUUGGUUCGGUUCCCUGUGAUUCAGAAAACAAGGCUGGCGUGGUCACCCGUGCCUCCCUUCCGGCCUGGCUUGACGUGACGCGGCCCUCCCUCAGCUGCAUCGGGAACCACCGCACACGCACGUUUUUCCACUACAGGUGUUCCUCUCGCACGGCGGCGCGGAGGAGGGGAAAGAGGUGGAUGACUCAUGCUUCAGGAACACCGUGAAACCAGAAAGAGCAGGUGACUCCACACCACAGGGACACAGGUAUGGAUGGCCGUGGCACCUCACCUGCAUCACCACCACAGGACGGCCCUUGGUUCACGCCCACCACCACCACACCUUGAAGCCAGUGCCACCUUCACCCCUCCACCUGGUUCAGCCACACCGGCCACCACCACCAUCAGCACCAGCACCACCAGUACCACCAGGGGGCCGCAUAACGGGAGUGGAUGAUGACGCUUCCCGUAACCAACAAGGAGCGGAAGGGCCCCAUUACCUGGCCCGCCGCCCCGCCAGCGCUGCUCCCAGGGUGACGGGGGCAGCCAAUCCCAACCCGCCCCGCCCCUGCCUCCUCCAUCCAGUCCUCCCCACCCUAUCUCUCUCUCUCUCUCUCUCUCUCUCUCUCUCUCCUUCCUCUUCCUACUUCUGGUUUUAGUCUGAAUGAUUGAUUCUCCAAGCAGCCAAGAAAGGAGGUAAUUAUGUAUGCUGCUAUUUGUUUAAUUUAUGUAAUUCCGUGUAAUUUUGUGUAAUUCUCAACCUUCUAUUUCCUCUCGGGGUGACAGAGCAAAGAGUCUCCUGCUUUGCCUCCUCCUUCUCCUCCUGUUCCUUCUUUCUUAUUCAUCCUGUUCCUUCCUCCUCUUUCCUCUUCCUCCUUCUUCUCUCAGCCAGGAAGUCCACAGGAAGAUUAAUGCUGUUUUUUAAUACACGUGAAAUAAAUCUGCUUUAUUCCGUUAUCAUUGCUCUUCAUUACGAGUAACUGGUGACUUAUAAAAACGCUGUGUAUCCACUAACAUCUUGGUAAUAAGUGUAGAGUGCGCUGUUCCUUUGUUUUUUCUUAUUAAUAUAUCACUCUGUGAUAUGUGUCUUUAGAAACACUUGGGUAGGAUAAUUUUUCCU